Molecule: small nuclear RNA, 105 nt
Organism: Pipistrellus kuhlii (Kuhl's pipistrelle)
Lineage: Eukaryota; Metazoa; Chordata; Mammalia; Chiroptera; Vespertilionidae
Source: RefSeq, a predicted model, not a curated record
GUGCUUAUUUUGGUAUCACAUCUACUAAACUUGGAAUAAUAACAAAGAUUAGCAUGACCCCUUCACAAACAUGGCAUGUAAAUCCAUGAAGCAUUCUGUAUUUCC